Molecule: RNA transcript, 1625 nt
Organism: Herpailurus yagouaroundi (jaguarundi)
Lineage: Eukaryota; Metazoa; Chordata; Mammalia; Carnivora; Felidae
Gene: METTL16
Gene name: methyltransferase 16, RNA N6-adenosine
Exons: 8
Source: RefSeq, a predicted model, not a curated record
ACUUGGAACAACCUUAAAUGGCUGGUAUUUCCUUGCAACGGAAGUGGAUGAUAUGUGCUUCAACUAUGCAAAGAAAAACGUGGAACAGAAUAAUUUAUCUGAUCUUAUAAAAGUGGUAAAAGUACCACAGAAGACACUCCUGAUGGAUGCUCUUAAAGAAGAAUCUGAGAUAAUCUAUGAUUUUUGCAUGUGCAACCCACCCUUUUUUGCAAAUCAGUUGGAAGCCAAGGGAGUAAACUCUCGAAAUCCUCGGAGACCUCCACCUAGUUCUGUAAAUACAGGAGGUAUCACAGAAAUCAUGGCAGAAGGAGGUGAAUUAGAGUUUGUUAAAAGGAUCAUCCAUGACAGUUUACAGCUUAAAAAAAAGAUUAAGGUGGUACAGCUGUAUGCUGGGGAAAAAAUGCAGCUUGGCUCCUCUAAAGGAAGAACUUCGCAUACAAGGGGUUCCUAAAGUCACCUACACUGAAUUCUGUCAAGGCCGGACAAUGAGAUGGGCUUUAGCUUGGAGUUUUUAUGAUGAUGUUACAGUGCCCCAGAGAGGCAGUGCACAGCUAGCCAUUGGCUUGGUCCCAACAUUAGCCAAGAUGCAGCAGGCCUCCUUCUCUGCCCAUGUGAUCCUAGUUGACCCUGGUCAUUCCUCACAUGUGAUCUUCAAGCCUCAACAAGUAUAAAGUUGGACUACAAUCACCACCCAGUAAGCGAAGAAAAUUAGAGAAGUCAAGGAAACCCAUCACGUUCGUGGUGUUAGAGUCUGUGAUGAAAGAAUUAUCCCUCAAAGCAUCAUCUUUGGGCUCUGAGACAGUGGAAGGCAUAGUAGUUGUGACAACGUGGAUUGAAAAAAUCCUCACCGAUCUGAAGGUUCAGCAUAAACGAGUCCCCUGUGGAAAGGAAGAGGUUAGCCUUUUCCUAACAGCAAUAGAAAACUCCUGGAUUCAUUUAAGGAGAAAGAAACGGGAGCGAGUGAGACAGUUGAGAGAAGUUCCGCGAGCUCCUGAGGACGUCAUCCAAGCUUUGGAAGAGAAGAAGUCCACCCCGAGAGAGUCUGGCAGUAGCCAGGAUUUGGCCCAGGGCCCCCGGGAGGGCGCCCUGUGUGGGCCUGCUGCACAGGAAGGCGAAUCUUCCACUCUUGAGGGCCAUUCCUCAAACCAGGAUCUGCUUUCCCAGGAUGAAAACCCAGAACCUGUGGAGGAUGAAAGGAGUGAGGAAAAGGGAGGGAUGGAGGCUUCAGAAAAUUGUAAAGGCUCUAGCAAUGGGGCCCAGGACCGAGAGGCAUCUGAGCAGUUCAGCAGCCCGGUGUCUGAAAAAGGAAGCCAUCUCCAAGGAGUGGCUGGACAUUACCUAUUCAAGUGUUUGAUAAAUGUAAAGAAGGAGGUAGAUGAUGCUUUAGUUGAAAUGCAUUGGGUUGAGGGCCAGAAUAGGGAUUUGAUGAACCAGCUUUGUACCUAUAUACGUAACCAAAUUUUCAGGCUUGUUGCUAGUUAAAUUCUUGCACAGCUGGGAAGUUUCUAUAAAGUAGCUUGCCUUGGUGUGCCAAGAGGUAUUCCACCAUAGGCCCAUUGGUCAUUACGUGCAGUUUUCUUAAAAAAAAAAAAAAAAAAAAAAAGGAAAGAAAGAAAAGAAACAAA